Molecule: long non-coding RNA, 229 nt
Organism: Mauremys mutica (yellowpond turtle)
Lineage: Eukaryota; Metazoa; Chordata; Testudines; Geoemydidae
Exons: 3
Source: RefSeq, a predicted model, not a curated record
GGCGCUCCGAACGCUGGAACAAAGCUAAUUCCCGGAGUCACCAGCAGGAGGCGCCGCAGGGCAAUGCUGGAUACUCCCAGGCGAUGUCUUUCUCCAACAGCAACACCAGUAGGCUGUGCCCACACCCACUCUGACUCUCCCCAAAAGAGCACAUGAAUAUGCAACUGCCACAUCAGGAAACCAGCAGGUGGAUGUGCCAAAGAUGUGAGCCAGCUCUGAUUUUUCCCCC